GUGAGGAAUAUUGCGCAAUGGAGGCAACUCUGACGCAGCCAUGCCGCGUGCAGGAAGAAGGCGCUACGCGUUGUAAACUGCUUUUAACCGGGAAGAAACCCCAGGACGUGUCCUGGGUUGACGGUACCGGAGGAAUAAGCACCGGCUAACUUCGUGCCAGCAGCCGCGGUAAUACGAAGGGUGCAAGCGUUAUCCGGAUUCAUUGGGUUUAAAGGGUGCGUAGGCGGAGCGUUAGGUCAGUGGUGAAAUCCUGCAGCUUAACUGUAGACUUGCCAUUGAUACUGUCGCUCUUGAGUGCGCUUGAAGUGGGCGGAAUGUGCCGUGUAGCGGUGAAAUGCUUAGAUAUGGCACAGAACACCAAUUGCGAAGGCAGCUCACUAAGGCGAUACUGACGCUGAGGCACGAAAGCGUGGGGAUCGAACAGGAUUAGAUACCCCUGUAGUCC
RNAcentral lists this ribosomal RNA (445 nucleotides) under uncultured bacterium. Its description in RNAcentral is "partial 16S ribosomal RNA". It matches the Rfam family "Bacterial small subunit ribosomal RNA", at positions 354 to 796 of the family's 1533-position model. The record is from RNAcentral.